Non-coding RNA from Paramuricea clavata, 318 nucleotides. The record is from the annotation of a GenBank genome assembly. NCBI's taxonomy places the organism in Eukaryota, Metazoa, Cnidaria, Anthozoa, Malacalcyonacea, Plexauridae.
GUGCUCUCCCUUAUAUAUGUUUAGAGAGAAACGUUUUUUCUUGCUGUGUCAUUUUGUGGGAAGAUUUUUACAAUCUUGCGGUAACUGUUCCCGUCCAUUAUGCACUUGUGGUAACGUAAUAAACUAAAAUAUUUGCAUGCUCAUGUAUGACUAAGCUAAGAGAACUUCCUGUGUGUAAAACAAUUUUCCAUAGGUAAAUUCUUUAGAGUAAAUAUAAUAUAACUAAACUAUGAUAUAUAAUAUAUAAAUAUAGUAAAAUGUAUUAAUGUAUAAUAUAAAAUGUUAUAAAACAUACAUGAUAAUUGCUAUCAUGUAACA